This 2009-nucleotide ribosomal RNA is filed under the name Clostridium beijerinckii. RNAcentral's name for it is "partial 23S ribosomal RNA". It matches the Rfam family "Bacterial large subunit ribosomal RNA", at positions 908 to 2925 of the family's 2925-position model. Lineage: Bacteria; Bacillati; Bacillota; Clostridia; Eubacteriales; Clostridiaceae. The record is from RNAcentral.
CACUGAAUAGGCUAGGGGGCAUAGCGCUUACCGAACCUUAUCAAACUCCGAAUGCCACAUACUAUCAGUCCGGCAGUCAGACUAUGAAAGAUAAGUUCCAUGGUCAAAAGGGAAACAGCCCAGAUCGUCAGCUAAGGUCCCAAAGUGUAAGUUAAGUGGAAAAGGAUGUGGGAUUUCUAAGACAACUAGGAUGUUGGCUUAGAAGCAGCCACUCAUUAAAAGAGUGCGUAAUAGCUCACUAGUCAAGAGAUCCUGCGCCGAAAAUGUCCGGGGCUCAAACUUACCACCGAAGCUACGGGUUCACGCAUUUGCGUGAGCGGUAGAGGAGCGUCGUAAUCGGGCUGAAGUCGUACCGUAAGGAGCGGUGGACUGAUUACGAGUGAGAAUGUUGGCAUUAGUAGCGAGAUGUAGGCGAGAAUCCUACAGGCCGAAUAUCUAAGGUUUCCUGAGUAAAGUUUGUCUUCUCAGGGUUAGUCGGGACCUAAGGCGAGGCCGAAAGGCGUAGUCGAUGGACAAUUGGUUGAUAUUCCAAUACCACUAUAAUCGUUAUUAUCGAUGGUGUGACGGAGAAGGAUAGGAUGUGCUAGCUAUUGGAUGCUAGUCUAAGCGUUUAGGGAGUUGGGAUUGGCAAAUCCGUUCCAACAAUUCUGAGGCGUGAUGGGGAAGGUUCUACGGAACCGAAGUAUCUGAUUCCAUGCUUCCAAGAAAAGCAUCUAGAAAGAGAAGUAGUGCCCGUACCGCAAACCGACACAGGUAGAUGAGGAGAGAAUCCUAAGGCCGACGGAAGAAUUGCAGUUAAGGAACUAGGCAAAUUGACCCCGUAACUUCGGGAGAAGGGGUGCCUGAGAAAUCAGGCCGCAGAGAAUAGGCACAAGCAACUGUUUAACAAAAACACAGGUCUCUGCUAAAGCGAAAGCUGAUGUAUAGGGGCUGACGCCUGCCCGGUGCUGGAAGGUUAAGGGGAACACUUAGCGAAAUAUCGUGAAGGUGUGAACUUAAGCCCCAGUAAACGGCGGCCGUAACUAUAACGGUCCUAAGGUAGCGAAAUUCCUUGUCAGGUAAGUUCUGACCCGCACGAAUGGCGUAAUGACUUGUGCACUGUCUCAACUGCAAAUCCGGCGAAGUUGUAGUGCGAGUGAAGAUGCUCGCUACCCGCGAUUGGACGGAAAGACCCCGUAGAGCUUUACUGUAGCUUAGCAUUGAAUUUCGGUAUUGUCUGUACAGGAUAGGUGGGAGACUGGGAAACUAGGGCGUCAGCCUUGGUGGAGUCGUUGUUGGGAUACCACCCUGAUAGUAUUGAAGUUCUAACUGGAUGCCAUGAAACUGGUGACAGGACAUUGUUAGGUGGGCAGUUUGACUGGGGCGGUCGCCUCCUAAAAUGUAACGGAGGCGCCCAAAGGUUCCCUCAGAACGGUCGGAAAUCGUUCGAAGAGUGUAAAGGCAGAAGGGAGCCUGACUGCGACACCUACAAGUGGAGCAGGGACGAAAGUCGGGCUUAGUGAUCCGGUGGUACCUCGUGGGAGGGCCAUCGCUCAACGGAUAAAAGCUACCUCGGGGAUAACAGGCUGAUCUCCCCCAAGAGUUCACAUCGACGGGGAGGUUUGGCACCUCGAUGUCGGCUCGUCGCAUCCUGGGGCUGAAGUAGGUCCCAAGGGUUGGGCUGUUCGCCCAUUAAAGCGGCACGCGAGCUGGGUUCAGAACGUCGUGAGACAGUUCGGUCCCUAUCCGUCGCGGGCGUAGGAAAUUUGAGAGGAGCUGUCCUUAGUACGAGAGGACCGGGAUGGACUGACCUAUGGUGUACCAGUUGUUUCGCCAGAAGCAUAGCUGGGUAGCUAAGUCGGGAAGGGAUAAACGCUGAAAGCAUCUAAGUGUGAAGCCCACCUCAAGAUGAGAUUUCCCAUAGCAUAAGCUAGUAAGACCCCUUGAAGACUACAAGGUUGAUAGGUCAGAGGUGUAAGUGCGGCAACGUAUUUAGCUGACUGAUACUAAUAGGUCGAGGGCUUGACCAA